Molecule: long non-coding RNA, 1341 nt
Filed under: Vulpes vulpes (red fox)
Lineage: Eukaryota; Metazoa; Chordata; Mammalia; Carnivora; Canidae
Description: lncRNA (ENSVVUG00000011700.1)
Source: RNAcentral
AUGGAGCCUCUGAGCCGACGCAGGGACGAAGUCAUGGGCUUCCUCGGCCCGGGAGUCGACGAGGGCGGGGAAGAGCCGCAGGAAACCCAGCCUGUGGCCGUGUCGCUGACCCAGGAGGGAGCGGCGGCCGAGUUCACACCUGACCACGGCGGGGGAGCAGACCAGGUCAUGGAGGAAGCUGACGGCGAGGGUGACGGUGACGGCGAGGGUGACGGUCAGGGCCAGCGCGACGGUGACGGUCAGGGCCAGCGCGACGGUGAAGACGGUCAGGGCCAGCGCGACGGUGACGACGGUCAGGGCCAGCGCGACGGUGACGGUCAGGGCCAGCGCGACGGUGACGGUGAAGGCCAGCGCGACGGCGAGGAGGCAAUGGGUGACGAGGCCGCGGGAUCUCCACUGCCGGCGGGCGACGGGACCCCCCAGGGGCACGGCGACCAGGGCCCAGUGCCAGGGCAGCCGCCCCAGGCCACCGUCGCGUGUCCCCUGCCGGGCAACGGGCAGCAGGCGGGCCAGCGCAUCGUGUUCAGCCGCGUGCAGCUGCAUGAGCUGGAGAGCGUGUUCCAGCGCACCCAGUACCCCAGCGCGCCUACGCGCCAGGAGCUUGCAAGAUUCAUGGAUGUGUCUGAAGCCAGAGUGCAGAUCUUCAAGAACCACCUCUCCAGCCUGCCUUGCUAAAGUUCCCGCAUAAUCAUUGCGUUCCUGCGGAAGAUUAGCCAACUUCUCAAGAGGAGUGUUUCAGACACACUAGGCUAUUGUCUAGAUCUGCAGCCUAAAUAGUAGUUUUUGAAACUACUUCCUGUUAUGUUCCUUGAUUGAGAUUAAAGUAUUCUUUUUCUUUGCGUAUUUUAAUAGUUUCAUAUGCUAGAGUUAAACUGGCUAUUUUAAAUUUUAUUUUAUUUUUUAAAAAUUUAUUCUCAAAAUAUAGUUGAUAUACAAUGAUAUAUUAGUUUAAGUUGUACAAUAUAGUAAUUCGAUAAUUGUAUAUUCUGUGCAGAGAAUCUGGCUGUUUUUAAUGGUAAUUAUCUGGAUUCAUCAGUCCUCUGGCUUUAAUUGUCUCAUCACUAUCCUAACGGAUGUAACUAUCAGGAGACCUCAGAUGGAAUGGUGACUUACUACAGGUCAUGUUUUUACUGCUCAUUUAAAGUCCUACUUGCGGGACGCCUGGGUGGCUCAGCCCUUGAGCAUCUGCCUUUAGCUCAGAACGUAAUCCUGGAGUCCUGGGAUGGAGUCCCACAUCGGGCUCCCUGCAUGGAGCCUACUUCUCCCGCAGCCUGUGUCUCUCUGCCUCUCUCUGUGUCUCUCAUGAAUAAAUGAAUAAAAUCUUUUUUAAAAAAGUCUUAU